UACUAAUGGCUGGCAUGGGCAGGACC
Molecule: non-coding RNA, 26 nt
Filed under: Rattus norvegicus (Norway rat)
Lineage: Eukaryota; Metazoa; Chordata; Mammalia; Rodentia; Muridae
Source: RNAcentral